This 404-nucleotide long non-coding RNA is filed under the name Rattus norvegicus (Norway rat). RNAcentral's name for it is "long non-coding RNA NONRATT015916". Lineage: Eukaryota; Metazoa; Chordata; Mammalia; Rodentia; Muridae. The record is from RNAcentral.
GAGAAGUCACAAUCAAGUGAGGUUCUAAUUCACAUUUUUAAAGAAAGGAACAAAGGAAGAAAGAUCAAGCAGAGGAGAUGGCCUGCCACCUGUGAUUCAUGAGAAAAAGCCAAAAGGAAAGCCAAAGGAAGGGUCAGAGCCCCAAACUCUUCCUAAGCAUGCAUCAGAUACAGGAAGUAAGCAUGCUCACAAAGAAAAAGCACUUUCCAGAUCAAAUGAGCAGAUAGUGUCAGAGAAAUCAUCAGAAUCAAAGACAAAAUUUCAAGAUGCUCCUUCUGCUGAUGGAGAGAGUGUGGCUGGAGGUGUGACUGUGGCCACUGCCUCAGACAAGGUGGUUGUUAAGAAAAAAGAGAAGAAAUCAUUAACACCUACUUUACCUAUGGAGUCCACACUAAACAAGCUAU